This 276-nucleotide long non-coding RNA is filed under the name Lathyrus oleraceus (garden pea). Its description in RNAcentral is "Pisum sativum (pea) long non-coding RNA (PSAT_LNC005156)". Lineage: Eukaryota; Viridiplantae; Streptophyta; Magnoliopsida; Fabales; Fabaceae. The record is from RNAcentral.
UAUUGUACUGUAGAUAUUUUUCAAAGAUAAAUAAUAAUUAUAUAUAAUAAAAGAUGAAAAAGGGGAUGAACCCAACAUAGUCAGAUGCACAAAAAUGGUACAAGAAGUAUAAAAAGCAACACCCGAGAAUCUAAGAAAAAAUAAAGUAAACAAACAAAAGAAGAAAAACAAAUACAAUCAUAAAAAGCAAGAAAAAUCACCACAAGGCAAACUCCGAAGAAAUCCGCCUACAAAACUUCACCACAAUGUAGAACAAGUUAGAUCUCAAGUCAGUAG